This 29-nucleotide non-coding RNA is filed under the name Rattus norvegicus (Norway rat). Lineage: Eukaryota; Metazoa; Chordata; Mammalia; Rodentia; Muridae. The record is from RNAcentral.
UGGCUAGCCAAUUUGACUUCCCUAAAUGU